UCCUUUCUCCCUGCUUAUUACCCAGGCCCUCCCCUACCUUUCCUUACACAGCGCUUUGUUUCCGGGGAGGCAGUUCUCUGGGGAUUUUAAGCAGAUGAUUGAGUGUAUGAUGGUUUUAAACCAACUCGUAACAAUCUCAGGCAAACUGCGAGGAAGCCAGGCUCACAGUGUGCUGUGAAGUCUGCUCCAGUUGUGUAGCAUGAUCCUGAACGUGCUGGCUGUGGAGGAGGCACGAGCAAAGGCCAGGGGCACCUCCUUUUUCUAUUGCUUGAAACAAAUUCUUUGCAUCUCAUCGGAGGCCCUCUUCUGGCCAAGUACUCUGACUUGUGGAGGUGGGGGGGGGGGGGUUGUUUAUGCAUCUGGGUGUCUCUCGGCCUGGGUCAGAGAGUCCGGAGGAUUCUAACCUGCCUGGGGAGAGAAAGUCUUGUAAAGUGAAGGGGGUACCAUCUGCUUACGUGGGCUUCUUCCAGCUCAUGUGGAUUAAAAACAGACAAACACAGAAUCAGGACUACAUUUUCAGAACUCUCUGGAAAUUACUUAAGUCUAUUUAGGAAGCUGUGUGCGCUGGCUUCCUGCUUCUCUAAUCCCAGGUGGUUCUCUUGAGGUUAUGGAAGGGGGGUGUGUGUGCACGGGGGAGGGUGUGCUUGUAUAUAUAUGAAAUGGGUUUGUUUAAAGC
RNAcentral lists this long non-coding RNA (676 nucleotides) under Mus musculus (house mouse). Its description in RNAcentral is "long non-coding RNA chr4:57821933-57822609". The record is from RNAcentral. Lineage: Eukaryota; Metazoa; Chordata; Mammalia; Rodentia; Muridae.